This 86-nucleotide transfer RNA is filed under the name Opitutus sp. RNAcentral's name for it is "tRNA-Tyr". It matches the Rfam family "tRNA". Rfam says of the family: Transfer RNA (tRNA) molecules are approximately 80 nucleotides in length. RNAcentral also lists the same sequence under 1 other name. The record is from RNAcentral. Lineage: Bacteria; Pseudomonadati; Verrucomicrobiota; Opitutia; Opitutales; Opitutaceae.
GGUAGGAUACUCAAGUGGCCAACGAGGGGAGACUGUAAAUCUCCUGGCUAACGCCUUCUCUGGUUCGAAUCCAGAUCCUACCACCA